GACGAACGCUGGCGGCGCGCUUAACACAUGCAAGUCGAACGGAAAGGCCUGCUUUCCCUUGUGGAUUGCGGGUACUCGAGUGGCGAACGGGUGAGUAACACGUGAGUGAUCUGCCCCCAACUUGGGUAUAAGCCUGGGAAACUGGGUCUAAUUCCCGAUAGGACUGCAGGGUGGUGCCUGUGGUGGAAAACGAUUUUCUAGUGGUUGGGGAUGAGCUCGCGGCCUAUCAGCGUGUUGGUGGGGUAAUGGCCUACCAAGGCGGCGACGGGUAGCCGGCCUGAGAGGGUGGACGGCCACAUUGGGACUGAGAUACGGCCCAGACUCCUACGGGAGGCAGCAGUGGGGAAUAGUGCACAAUGGGCGGAAGCCUGAUGCAGCGACGCCGCGUGGGGGAUGACGGCCUUCGGGUUGUAAACUCCUUUCGACCGCGAGGAAGCCACCUGGUUGGAAGGGUGGUGACGGUAGUGGUAGAAGAAGCACCGGCUAACUACGUG
RNAcentral lists this ribosomal RNA (494 nucleotides) under uncultured bacterium. RNAcentral describes it as "partial 16S ribosomal RNA". It matches the Rfam family "Bacterial small subunit ribosomal RNA", at positions 28 to 507 of the family's 1533-position model. The record is from RNAcentral.